Anastrepha obliqua is the source of this 1046-nucleotide long non-coding RNA. RefSeq lists it as uncharacterized. The record is from RefSeq and is a predicted model, not a curated record. NCBI's taxonomy places the organism in Eukaryota, Metazoa, Arthropoda, Insecta, Diptera, Tephritidae. The transcript is spliced from 3 exons.
UGUUUGUUGCGGUACGUGCAUAUGGUGUGAUAUCUGAACUUCAGUGAGCUUGUAUGUCUAUCACAAUGACACAUCCAAACAUACUAUGUGUUGAGCCUGGACGUACAGGAUGUUUAUUUAGAGCAGGUGCUACCUACGCGAAUCCGAGUGUUACGUGAAUUAAUACACGUGCAACUUUAUAAGCUGAUAGACAGAAAUAGUUAGAAGGAGGUUACAUUAAAACUCCUGUGAUAACUAAACAAAUUACUACCUCUCUAUGGUUUAUAAGGGACGCAGAGGACCGAGUGGAGACGAGCCUAUACCGUUUGUUAAAACACACGCACACCUUUUCAGCUAAUCGUUUCAUAAGCUUUCCAGUGGGCUGUUAAUUUUUGGAAUCAAACAAACUCAUAGACAAUGUCAGUUGUAACUUUUAACGACAUACGGACGGACAGGAACUUAGUCCUAACAAAUAAAACUUGGGCGUGGCUUUUAUCCGAUGUUGAUAAUAUUUAUGUUGGAUCUAAAUAAGCUGGAGAGCACCAGGCAUACCAAAUUUUGCCGACGUUCAUUAAGUCGAUAUCGAAAUACACGCAUACAACAACGAAAUACAUGCGUCAUAUUUAUGUUUUUGUGCAUCAUUUGUAUAAAUCUUUUGCUCGAGUUAUCGUGUACGAGGGUGAACGGGCAGGCAUAGCUAAAUCGACUCCUCUCAUCAUUCUGACCCUUCUGGUAUAGAUACAUGUGUCUACAUCUAUCUUAAUUCCUGUAUGCUGUUACAGAAAAUAUUUAAGUGAACAAAAAAUACAGUUACACAUUCCAUACAAAUAUAGAUAUAUAGAAUUUAUAGAGAAUUAAUGAAUUUUCUUUUCUUAUAUUAUACAUUUGAAAGACUCAUUACACCUUUAUGUGUAGAAUAUGGCAUCGCCCAAAUAUUAGUUAGCAAAAAUCUUCUUAAAAUUCGUAUAAAUUUUUAAGUUUAACUAAAGACACGAAAAUGUUGUGAAGUCGUUUUAGGCUGUAUUUCGUUUUAGUUGUAAAUAUCCUUGUUAAAUUAUAGUUACUUU